UUCGUAGGGGGUUUUCUAAGUUUGAUGUGAAAUCCCGAGGCUUAACCUCGGAACUGCAUUGAAAACUGGAAGACUAGAGCAUUGGAGAGGAGAGCGGAAUUCCUGGAGUAGCGGUGGAAUGCGUAGAUAUCAGGAAGAACACCGAAAGCGAAGGCAGCUCUCUGGACAAUCGCUGACCCUGAGGAACGAAAGCGUGGGUAGCAAACAGGAUUAGAUACCCUGGUAGUCC
This 229-nucleotide ribosomal RNA is filed under the name uncultured bacterium. RNAcentral's name for it is "partial 16S ribosomal RNA". It matches the Rfam family "Bacterial small subunit ribosomal RNA", at positions 568 to 796 of the family's 1533-position model. The record is from RNAcentral.